RNAcentral lists this long non-coding RNA (228 nucleotides) under Chinchilla lanigera (long-tailed chinchilla). RNAcentral's name for it is "lncRNA (ENSCLAG00000024308.1)". The record is from RNAcentral. Lineage: Eukaryota; Metazoa; Chordata; Mammalia; Rodentia; Chinchillidae.
GGGGAGGCUGCGCUUUUGUGUCUAGCCCAAACUUUCCGUGAGUCACCGGGAUCAUUUGCAUGGGGAGGCUGCCCGAGUCCCGGCCGCCCAGCUCCUCGACUUCAGAGCUGGGUCUGCCCCAGUCCACUUUGGAAAUGGAAAAUAAAGCUGUGCCGUUUGGGGACUUCGCUGUACCUUUCUUCUGACACUUAGGGCUGCUCAGGUGAGCUCGGGUGACCAGGACACAGA